CGGCUUAUUUUUGGCACCCCGAGGCCCCUCGCAAAGUCUCGCCCCAUUCCGAGUGCGGCGGACGAACUUCGCCCGCGCCCCCCACCAAGGCUAUAGCCCACCCGUUUUUUGGCCAUUUUUCCGCUGGGGGAUUUUGGCACCACGACCUUCGGGCGCUUAUUUCUGGGCGCGGCUUUGCCCGCGGCUUAUUUUUGGCACCCCGAGGGCCCUCGCAAAGUCUCGCCGCAUUCCGAGUCCGGGGGACGAACGUCGCCCGCGCCCCCCACCAAGGCUAUAGCCCACCCGUUUUUUGGCCAUUUUUCCGCUAGGGGGUUUUGGCACCACGACCUUCGGGCGCUUAUGUUUGGGCACGGCUUUGCCCGCGGCUUAUUUUUGGCACCCCGAGGCCCCUCGCAAAGUCUCACCCCAUUCCGAGUCCGGCGGACGAACUUCGCCCGCGCCCCCCACCAAGGCUAUAGCCCACCCGUUUUUUGGCCAUUUUUCCGCUGGGGGGUUUUGGAACCACGACCUUCGGGCGCUUAUUUUUGGGCGCGACUUUGCCCGCGGCUUAUUUUUGGCACCCCGAGGCCCCUCGCAAAGUCUCGCCCCAUUCCGAGUCCGGCGGACGAACUUCGCCCGCGCCCCCCACCAAGGCUAUAGCCCACCCGUUUUUUGGCCAUUUUUCCGCUGGGGGGUUUUGGCACCACGACCUUCGGGCGCUUAUUUUUGGGCGCGGCUUCGCCCGCGGCUUUUUUUUGGCACCCCGAGGCCCCUCGCAAAGUCUCGCCGCAUUUCGAGUCCGGCGGACGAACGUCGCCCGCGCCCCCCACCAAGGCUAUAGCCCACCCGUUUUUUGGCCAUUUUUCCGCUUGGGGUUUUGGCACCACGAACUUCCGGCGCUUAUGUUUGGGCGCGGCUUUGCCCGCCGCUUAAUUUUGGCACCCCGAGGCCCCUCGCAAAGUCUCGCCGCAUUCCGAGUCCGGCGGACGAACUUCGCCCGCGCCCCCCACCAAGGCUAUAGCCCACCCGUUUUUUGGCCAUUUUUCCGCUGGGGGGUUUUGGCACCACGACCUUCGGGCGCUUAUUUUUGGGCGCGGCUUUGCCCGCGGCUUAUUUUUGGCACCCCGAGGCCCCUCGCAAAGUCUCGCCGCAUUCCGAGUCCGGCGGACGAACUUCGCCCGCGCCCCCCACCAAGGCUAUAGCCCACCCGUUUUUUGGCCAUUUUUCCGCUGGGGGGUUUUGGCACCACGACCUUCGGGCGCUUAUUUUUGGGCGCGGCUUUGCCCGCGGCUUAUUUUUGGCACCCCGAGGCCCCUCGCAAAGUCUCGCCGCAUUCCGAGUCCGGCGGACGAACUUCCCCCGCGCCCCCCACCAAGGCUAUAGCCCACCCGUUUUUUGGCCAUUUUUCCGCUGGGGGGUUUUGGCACCACGACCUUCGGGCGCUUAUUUCUGGGCGCGGCUUUGCCCGCGGCUUAUUUUUGGCACCCCGAGGCCCCUCGCAAAGUCUCGCCGCAUUCCGAGUCCGGCGGACGAACUUCGCCCGCGCCCCCCACCAAGGCUAUAGCCCACCCGUUUUUUGGCCAUUUUUCCGCUGGGGGGUUUUGGCACCACGACCUUCGGGCGCUUAUUUUUGGGCGCGGCUUUGCCCGCGGCUUAUUUUUGGCACCCCGAGGCCCCUCGCAAAGUCUCGCCGCAUUCCGAGUCCGGCGGACGAAGUUCGCCCGCGCCCCCCACCAAGGCUAUAGCCCACCCGUUUUUUGGCCAUUUUUCCGCUGGGGGGUUUUGGCACCACGACCUUCGGGCGCUUAUUUUUGGGCGCGGCUUUGCCCGCGGCUUAUUUUUGGCACCCCGAGGCCCCUCGCAAAGUCUCACCCCAUUCCGAGUCCGGCGGACGAACUUCGCCCGCGCCCCCCACCAAGGCUAUAGCCCACCCGUUUUUUGGCCAUUUUUCCGCUGGGGGGUUUUGGAACCACCACCUUCGGGCGCUUAUUUCUGGGCGCGGCUGUGCCCGCGGCUUAUUUUUGGCACCCCGAGGCCCCUCGCAAAGUCUCGCCGCAUUCCGAGUCCGGCGGACGAACGUCGCCGGCGCCCCCCACCAAGGCUAUAGCCCACCCGUUUUUUGGCCAUUUUUCCGCUAGGGGGUUUUGGCACCACGACCUUCGGGCGCUUAUGUUUGGGCGCGGCUUUGCCCGCGGCUUAUUUUUGGCACCCCGAGGCCCCUCGCAAAGUCUCGCCCCAUUCCGAGUCCGGCGGACGAACUUCGCCCGCGCCCCCCACCAAGGCUAUAGCCCACCCGUUUUUUGGCCAUUUUUCCGCUGGGGGGUUUUGGAACCACGACCUUCGGGCGCUUAUUUUUGGGCGCGGCUUUGCCCGCGGCUUAUUUUUGGCACCCCGAGGCCCCUCGCAAAGUCUCGCCCCAUUCCGAGUCCGGCGGACGAACUUCGCCCGCGCCCCCCACCAAGGCUAUAGCCCACCCGUUUUUUGGCCAUUUUUCCGCUGGGGGGUUUUGGCACCACGACCUUCGGGCGCUUAUUUUUGGGCGCGGCUUCGCCCGCGGCUUAUUUUUGGCACCCCGAGGCCCCUCGCAAAGUCUCGCCGCAUUUCGAGUCCGGCGGACGAACGUCGCCCGCGCCCCCCACCAAAGCUAUAGCCCACCCGUUUUUUGGCCAUUUUUCCGCUUGGGGUUUUCGCACCACGACCUUCGGGCGCUUAUUUUUGGG
RNAcentral lists this long non-coding RNA (2699 nucleotides) under Citrus x clementina. RNAcentral's name for it is "Citrus clementina (C. clementina) long non-coding RNA (CCLE_LNC006302)". The record is from RNAcentral. Lineage: Eukaryota; Viridiplantae; Streptophyta; Magnoliopsida; Sapindales; Rutaceae.